UANUAAUUCUAGAGCUAAUACAUGCCACUAUGCCCUGACCCGCGAGGGGACGGGUGGAUUUAUUAGAACAGAACCAACCGGUUGUGGCUUCGGCUGCUUCCGUUGCACUCUGUGAUGACUCUGGAUAACUUCACUGAUCGCAGUCGGCCUUGUGUCGGCGACGGAUCUUUCAAAUGUCUGCCCUAUCAAUUUUCGAUGGUAGGUGACCUGCCUACCAUGGUGAUAACGGGUAACGGGGAAUCAGGGUUCGAUUCCGGAGAGGGAGCCUGAGAAAUGGCUACCAACUU
This 287-nucleotide ribosomal RNA is filed under the name Orthosplanchnus arcticus. Its description in RNAcentral is "partial 18S ribosomal RNA". It matches the Rfam family "Eukaryotic small subunit ribosomal RNA", at positions 150 to 416 of the family's 1831-position model. The record is from RNAcentral. Lineage: Eukaryota; Metazoa; Platyhelminthes; Trematoda; Plagiorchiida; Brachycladiidae.